RNAcentral lists this long non-coding RNA (389 nucleotides) under Salmo salar (Atlantic salmon). RNAcentral's name for it is "lncRNA (ENSSSAG00000083418.1)". The record is from RNAcentral. Lineage: Eukaryota; Metazoa; Chordata; Actinopteri; Salmoniformes; Salmonidae.
AAAAAAGUGUUAUUUUAGACGCAGUAUUUGCAGCAUACUGUAGUUAUACUGCACUCUUUUUUUUCGUAAAGGUAGCUAGUGGAAAUAAGUUAGUCCUUGAACCUGCUACAAGAUGAUGCUGCCCAGCCAGAGCUACCUGCUGCAGAAACGUCAGAUUUCUCCAUGACUUCCUCUAACUAACUUAGGAGAAAAGCACAGUAUGGCAUCUGAGCAGAUCAUCAUCAACUUGAUGUAGUUACAUCAGCCAAUACAGGGAGCAGCCACGGAUGGACCUGGGAGGGCAUACUUGGGAGCCAGGCUCACCCAACUGAACAAAAUUGGCUUGCAACAGCUGGCUGGCUAGCUACUCGUGUGCAUGCAAUUAAGGUGUUGGCUUGACAGUUGCUGGA